AACGCGAAGAACCUUACCUAGACUUGACAUCUCCUGCAUUACUCUUAAUCGAGGAAGUCCCUUCGGAGACAGGAUGACAGGUGGUGCAUGGUUGUCGUCAGCUCGUGUCGUGAGAUGUUGGGUUAAGUCCCGCAACGAGCGCAACCCUUAUUGUUAGUUGCCAUCAUUAAGUUGGGCACUCUAGCGAGACUGCCCGGGUUAACCGGGAGGAAGGUGGGGAUGACGUCAAAUCAUCAUGCCCCUUAUGUCUAGGGCUACACACGUGCUACAAUGGUCGGUACAAUAAGACGCAAGCCCGCGAGGGGGAGCAAAACUGGAAAACCGAUCUCAGUUCGGAUUGUAGGCUGAAACUCGCCUACAUGGAGCUGGAGUUACUAGUAAUCGCAGAUCAGCAUGCUGCGGUGAAUACGUUCCCGGGUCUUGUACACACCG
RNAcentral lists this ribosomal RNA (432 nucleotides) under uncultured Clostridium sp. RNAcentral's name for it is "bacterial SSU rRNA". It matches the Rfam family "Bacterial small subunit ribosomal RNA", at positions 958 to 1392 of the family's 1533-position model. The record is from RNAcentral. Lineage: Bacteria; Bacillati; Bacillota; Clostridia; Eubacteriales; Clostridiaceae.